Alnus glutinosa is the source of this 1907-nucleotide long non-coding RNA. RefSeq lists it as uncharacterized. The record is from RefSeq and is a predicted model, not a curated record. The transcript has 2 exons. Lineage: Eukaryota; Viridiplantae; Streptophyta; Magnoliopsida; Fagales; Betulaceae.
CAUAUAUAUAGAUCGGAGCACAAAAUUAAAAAAGAUUAUUCGUACGUUGUUCAAAACCAAUGAGGGUGGAAGUAUUAUUGUGCACGUGCAAGAACGUUAGAUCCUAAGGACUGGUAGCUAAAGUUGACUAUUUUGAGCCUGCUUUUGCCUCUUAUAAUGUAAGUCUCUGCACUCCUCCCGGGCAGCUAGUGACCAGGAUAAUACCGCAUAUUCCAUAUAUAAGUAAGCUUCAUCAAGGAGAAAGGGUCGAAGACUCGAAGGGCUCUGUUCAGAGAGGCCAGGAGCUGAGGGAGCUGAUGAUGGGAGGCCGGGAAAGUAGAGAGAGACACGCAAUCGUGGCUCCAAGAGUACUGUUUGUGAAGGGGAGGUAUGUGGAGGUGUUGAAAACGGCGGACAAGGGCUUGCUGGGUUUGCGGAGGAUCUUUAAGGGUUUAACCAAACAAGUGUGAAGGGGAGCAUUUUCAACACCUCCUCCGCCAUUUUUUUGGGUAUGUGGGUAUAGUAGGGCUGCGCGCGCAGGUGUUGAAAAUGGCGGUGAGGGCAUGAUCCUCCUAGGCUUCCUUCUCUCCACCACUAGAGGGGUGAGAUACAAGGGUUUGGCGUAAUACAAGUGUUUGGACAGUGGGUUCAGAGAGGAGCUGAGGGAGCCGAUGAUGAGAGGGAAAGUAGAGAGAGACGCAAUCGUGGCUCCAUGAGUACUGUCUGUGAAGGGGAGGUAUGUGGAGGUGUUGAAAACGGCGGACUAGGGCUUACUGGGUUUGCGGAUCGAGAAUCUUUAAGGGUUUAACCAAACAAGUGUGGAGGGGAGCAUUUUCAACACCUCCUCCGCCAUUUUUUUGGGUAUGUGGGUAGGGCUGCGCGCGCAGGUGUUGAAAAUGACGGUGAGGGCAUGAUCCUCCUAGGCUUCCUUUUCUCCACCACUAGAGGAGUGAGAUACAAGGGUUUGGCGUGAUACAAGUGUUUGGACAGUGGGUUCAGAGAGGAGCUGAGGGAGCCGAUGAUGAGAGGGUCGGGAAAGUAGAGAGAGACGCAAUCGUGGCUCCAAGAGUACUGUUUGUGAAGGGGAGGUAUGUGGAGGUGUUGAAAACCGCGGACUAGGGCUUACUGGGUUUGCGGAUCGAGGAUCUUUAAGGGUUUAACCAAACAAGUGUGGAGGGGAGCAUUUUCAACACCUCCUCCGUCAUUUUUUUGGGUAUGUGGGUAGGGCUGCGCGCGCAGGUGUUGAAAAUGGCCGUGAGGGCAUGAUCCUCCUAGGCUUCCUUUUCUCCACCACUAGAGGAGUGAGAUACAAGGGUUUGGCGUGAUACAAGUGUUUGGACAGUGGGUUCAGAGAGGAGCUGAGGGAGCCGAUGAUGAGAGGGCCGGGAGAGUAGAAAGAGACGCAAUCGUGGCUCCAAGAGUACUGUUUGUGAAGGGGAGGUAUGUGAAGGUGUUGAAAACGGCGGACUAGGGCUUACUGGGUUUGCAGAGGAUCUUUAAGGUUUUAACCAAACAAGUGUGAACGGGAGCAUUUUCAACACCUCCUCUGCCAUUUUUUGGGUAUCUGGGUAGGGCUGCGCUCGGAGGUGUUGAAAAUGGUGGUGGAGGGUUUGCUGCGUGAGCUUCUUUGAUGGGUUGCUAAAGAAGAGAGGUCUGGGUGUGUGAGAAGGGUUUAACCAAAUUAAGAAGAGAUCGAGGUCUGGUUAUGUUGUUCGUCAUAAAAAUUUAGUACUGAAAUAUUACAAGACUUGUUCUGGUAUACCUCAUGGCUCAGAGAGAAUUAAACAUGCAUGUAAAACCAUAAUUAAAGCAAAGAGAUUUGCUCUUACCGGUUGACGAAACCGUUCACUGCUUCCAUUUCUCCGAGCUAUUCCUACUAUCUUGUAAGUGAUUAACUCUAUGUCAGGAAUGGAACUGGUUUUGGAAAA